AGGACGAACGCUGGCGGCGUGCUUAACACAUGCAAGUCGAGCGGAAAGGCCCUUCGGGGUACUCGAGCGGCGAACGGGUGAGUAACACGUGAGUAACCUGCCCCUAGCUCUGGGAUAGCUCCGGGAAACCGGGAUUAAUACCAGAUACGACCACUUUAGACAUCUGUCGUGGUGGAAAGGAUUCCGGCUAGGGAUGGGCUCGCGGCCUAUCAGCUUGUGGUGGGGUAACGGCCUACCAAGGCGACGACGGGUAG
RNAcentral lists this ribosomal RNA (254 nucleotides) under uncultured bacterium. Its description in RNAcentral is "partial small subunit ribosomal RNA". It matches the Rfam family "Bacterial small subunit ribosomal RNA", at positions 26 to 286 of the family's 1533-position model. The record is from RNAcentral.